AAAACGACUCUCGGCAACGGAUAUCUCGGCUCUCGCAUCGAUGAAGAACRUAGCGAAAUGCGAUACUUGGUGUGAAUUGCAGAAUCCCGUGAACCAUCGAGUCUUUGAACGCAAGUUGCGCCCUAAGCCGUUAGGCCGAGGGCACGUCUGCCUGGGUGUCACGC
This 164-nucleotide ribosomal RNA is filed under the name Aglaia lawii. RNAcentral's name for it is "5.8S ribosomal RNA". It matches the Rfam family "5.8S ribosomal RNA". Rfam says of the family: 5.8S ribosomal RNA (5.8S rRNA) is a component of the large subunit of the eukaryotic ribosome. It is transcribed by RNA polymerase I as part of the 45S precursor that also contains 18S and 28S rRNA. Functionally, it is thought that 5.8S rRNA may be involved in ribosome translocation. Lineage: Eukaryota; Viridiplantae; Streptophyta; Magnoliopsida; Sapindales; Meliaceae. The record is from RNAcentral.